RNAcentral lists this ribosomal RNA (468 nucleotides) under uncultured bacterium. RNAcentral's name for it is "partial 16S ribosomal RNA". It matches the Rfam family "Bacterial small subunit ribosomal RNA", at positions 28 to 507 of the family's 1533-position model. The record is from RNAcentral.
GACGAACGCUGGCGGCGUGCUUAACACAUGCAAGUCGAGCGGAAAGGCCCUGCUUUUGUGGGGUGCUCGAUUGGCGAACGGGUGAGUAACACGUGAGUAACCUGCCCUUGUCUUUGGGAUAACUUCAGGAAACUGGGGCUAAUACCGGAUAGGAUCUCCUGCUGCAUGGUGGUGGUUGGAAAGUUUCGGCUGUUGGGGAUGGACUCGCGGCUUAUCAGCUUGUUGGUGGGGUAGUGGCUUACCAAGCCUUUGACGGGUAGCCGGCCUGGGAGGGUAGCCGGGCACAAUAGGACUGAGAGACGGACCAGACUCCUACGGGAGGCAGCAGUGGGAAAUAUUGCACAAUGGGGGGAAGCGUGAUGCAGAAACGCCGCGUGCGGGAUGACGGCCUUCGGGUUGUAAACCGCUUUCGCCUGAGACGAAGCGUGAGUGACGGUAAUGGGUAAAGAAGCACCGGCUAACUACGUG